Molecule: ribosomal RNA, 437 nt
Filed under: uncultured bacterium
Lineage: Bacteria
Description: bacterial SSU rRNA
Rfam family: Bacterial small subunit ribosomal RNA
Source: RNAcentral
GACGAACGCUGGCGGCGUGCCUAACACAUGCAAGUCGAACGGGGUAGCCCUUCGGGGUUACUUAGUGGCGAACGGGUGAGUAACGCGUGAGAAACCUGCCUUUCAGUGGGGGACAACAGUUGGAAACGACUGCUAAUACCGCAUAAUGUAUUUUAGGGGCAUCCCUUUAAUACCAAAGCUUUAUGUGCUGAAAGAUGGUCUCGCGUCUGAUUAGCUAGAUGGCGGGGUAACGGCCCACCAUGGCGACGAUCAGUAGCCGGUCUGAGAGGAUGAACGGCCACAUUGGGACUGAGAUACGGCCCAGACUCCUACGGGAGGCAGCAGUGGGGAAUAUUGGGCAAUGGGGGAAACCCUGACCCAGCAACGCCGCGUGAAGGAAGAAGGCCUUCGGUUGUAAACUUCUUUUGUUCGGGAAGUAAAGUGCAGUACGUGUACUG